Heterocephalus glaber (naked mole-rat) is the source of this 542-nucleotide non-coding RNA. NCBI's taxonomy places the organism in Eukaryota, Metazoa, Chordata, Mammalia, Rodentia, Bathyergidae. The record is from RefSeq and is a predicted model, not a curated record.
CGCUGCCCCUGGGCCAUUCAUUCCAGGGAAGACCCCCCCCCAACACCCCAGUGAUGAUGUUUCCAUGAGGGCCUAGAAGGGUUCCCAGCCACCAGCCUAGGUCCCUCUGCCAAAUUAGACCCACUGAAUCAACACCUCUAUAGACGGGGUCCAGGCGUGUGUGUCUUUCUAAGCAUCCUAGCCAGCACAGCCGCUGAGUUCUGCAGGCCUCGCUUCUUCCUCUCUACUUCUGGCACGCAGAUGUAAAGGGUCCUCUCCCGCAAACACUGCCACGGCUGUCCGCCGCCCUGAAGUCUGUUUCUGCCACCGCUGUUCCUUCCUGAAGACCCCUGUGGGGCGGAAUCGAGGCUCCCGCGCUGCAUCCUCUACCAGCAGCCGCGCCUGCUCUUUCUCCUUCCCAAGGCCUUCAGCAGCACUCAUCUCGGCAGAGCUCAAAAGGAGGCCACGGAAUUGUGUCCCUUCAGAUACCUUCAAGACCGAGGCACCAGCUUACCCUCCCUCAGAGAUGCAAGCUAUACCGCAAACAAAUUAAAUAUCCAGUG